This is a non-coding RNA of Pelobates cultripes (western spadefoot toad), 303 nucleotides long. NCBI's taxonomy places the organism in Eukaryota, Metazoa, Chordata, Amphibia, Anura, Pelobatidae. The record is from the annotation of a GenBank genome assembly.
AAUAUUGGGACAUAUAAAAAAAGACAACUCUGUUCCGCAGAGUAGCUGUUGACAUUAUAGUUGCGCAGGAACUUUGUUGACUCUAGAGAACCUCGGGCAAAUCGCACAUCCCCGUGGCGGCGACUUUGCAUGCGGAUGUCAUCCAUAUCAACUUUCGAUGCCAGUUUCUGCGCCUACCAUGGUGACCACGGGUAACGGGGAAUCAGGGUUCCAUUCCGUACAGGGACCCUGAGAAACGGCUACCACAUGCAAGGAAGGCAGCAGGCGCGCAAAUGACCCACUCCCGACGCGGGAAGGUAGUGA